RNAcentral lists this ribosomal RNA (493 nucleotides) under uncultured bacterium. RNAcentral describes it as "bacterial SSU rRNA". It matches the Rfam family "Bacterial small subunit ribosomal RNA", at positions 886 to 1390 of the family's 1533-position model. The record is from RNAcentral.
UCGCAAGGCUAAAACCCAAAGGAAUUGACGGGGGCCCGCAUAAGCAGCGGAGCGUGUGGUUUAAUUCGAUGCAACGCGAAGAACCUUACCUGGGCUUGACAUGUACGUAGUAGUGAAGGGAAACCGGAACGAGCCUUCGGGCAGCGUAGACAGGUGCUGCAUGGCUGUCGUCAGCUCGUGUCGUGAGAUGUUGGGUUAAGUCCCGCAACGAGCGCAACCCGUGUUGCUAGUUACAAGUGUCUAGCGAGACUGCCGGUAACAAGCCGGAGGAAGGUGCGGAUGAUGUCAAGUCAGCAUGGCCUAUAUGUCCAGGGCUACACACACGCUACAAUGGCUGGUACAAAGAGAAGCGAAAGGGAGACCUGAAGCGAAUCUCAUCAAAGCCAGUCAUAGUUCGGAUUGCAGGCUGCAACUCGCCUGCAUGAAGUCGGAGUUGCUAGUAACCGCAGGUCAGCAAUACUGCGGUGAAUACGUUCCCGGGCCUUGUACACAC